GGGCCCAUCGUCUAGCCUGGUCCAGGACACCUCCCUUUCAAGGAGGACACAUGGGUUCGAAUCCCAUUGGGCUCA
RNAcentral lists this transfer RNA (75 nucleotides) under Planctomycetota bacterium. Its description in RNAcentral is "tRNA-Glu". It matches the Rfam family "tRNA". Rfam says of the family: Transfer RNA (tRNA) molecules are approximately 80 nucleotides in length. Lineage: Bacteria; Pseudomonadati; Planctomycetota. The record is from RNAcentral. RNAcentral also lists the same sequence under 1 other name.